UGGCGAACGGGUGAGUAACACGUGGGUGAUCUGCCCUGCACUCUGGAUAAGCCUGGGAAACUGAGUCUAAUACCGGAUAGGACCAUGCUUUAGUGUGUGUGGUGGAAAGUUUUUUCGGUGUAGGAUGAGCCCGCGGCCUAUCAGCUUGUUGGUGGGGUAAUGGCCUACCAAGGCGGCGACGGGUAGCCGGACUGAGAGGUCGGUCGGCCACAUUGGGACUGAGAUACGGCCCAG
Molecule: ribosomal RNA, 234 nt
Filed under: uncultured Actinomycetales bacterium
Lineage: Bacteria; Bacillati; Actinomycetota; Actinomycetes; Actinomycetales
Description: partial 16S ribosomal RNA
Rfam family: Bacterial small subunit ribosomal RNA
Source: RNAcentral